This is a long non-coding RNA of Alligator mississippiensis (American alligator), 1782 nucleotides long. RefSeq lists it as uncharacterized. Lineage: Eukaryota; Metazoa; Chordata; Crocodylia; Alligatoridae. The transcript has 6 exons. The record is from RefSeq and is a predicted model, not a curated record.
UAACACCCACACGCUCUGGAGCAUCCUCGCUCUCUGGAAAGCCUGCUGAAUUCGACAAGAGCUGCCUCUCAGCACAGGUACAAAACACUUCCAGCUCAACCGGCUAAAUGGAUAAACCUGUCCGGCAUAGCUCUUAAACAGCACAGGAGACCUGCUGGCUUUAAGAGUUGGAGAAUGGAUUGCUGUGCCUGAGAAGAGCAAAGGGCAGCAGAAUAAGGGGUGCUAGGAAACUUUGUGUGGGUUACUGGCAUGCCGGUCGGAUGGUGGUGAUGUGAGUGGCAGCUGUGCUGUGGCAUGAAGGUUGUGAUGGCUUAAAGAAAGGAGCCCCAUGUGGAAAAAAAGAAAAAAGAAAAAAAGAGUAAGGGAGAGGGAGAAGAAAAAAGGGGAUACACUUGUGGAUGACAAAAGGAUGGGUUUCUGUUUAAUGAAGCAGCUGAGAGGCAUGAGUGUGGUGUUAGUGCUACUUCCUACGGUGCUGUCUGGUAUGCUCACGGAGGCUCAGCGCACUUGCCCCAGGAACUGCAGAUGUGAUGGUGUACUGUGAUUCUCACGCAUUCAGAGAUACCCCUUGGAAUAUUUCUGGAGGAUCUCAAGGCUUAUUGCUGCACUACAACAACAUCCAGAAGUUUAAAUCAAAUCAGUUUUGGGGCCUGAAUCAGCUCAUCUGGCUUUAUCUUGGCCAUAUUUACAUCAGCUGCGUGGAGGAGGAUGUGUUUCAGGGGAUCUGAAGGCUGAAGGAACUAAUUCUAAGCUCCAACAAAAAUACUCAUCUGCACAACAAAACAUUUCACCUGGGCCCCAAUCUCUGCAAUCUGGACCUUUCUUACAACAAGCAGCAGGUGUUACAGUCAGAGCAAUUUAAGGGCCUUCGCAAACUCUUGUUCUUGCACUUGAGGUCCAACUCACUGAAAACGGGACCAGUCCGAGUUUUUCAAGAUUGCCGGAACCUUGAUUUUCUGGAUUUGGGCUACAACUGUGUGCAGAGUCUGUCCCGCAAUGCUUUUGCUGGCCUCCUGAAGUUAACAGAGCUCCAUCUAGAGCACAACCAGUUUUCUAAGAUCAGCUUGGCCCACUUUCCACGCCUCUUCAAACUUUGAUCCAUUUAUUUGCAGUGGAAUUGGAUCCGGUCUAGCAUACAUGCUAAAUCGGUCACAUUAUAUUAUGCUCAUCCACCUUCUCCUUUCGUUAGUAGGAGGAGAUAAAGCACUAAAGGACUGUAAUGUUAAAAAAAACCUGUUAAGAAACUAUAGAUCUGUUCCCUGUAAGACUAUUUUGAAAGGAAGUGUCAGUACUAGUGCCAUUUAUUAGUUAAUUAUUGAGCCCUGACAGCAUGUAUUGUUCUGUAUAAGGCUCAUGUUAGGACACUCUCUGGCCCAAAGAUCUUGGAGUCGAAUGUCCUAAUUCCUCGUGUGCCCUUGACUUCAGUGGAGCCACUAAUGUGUACAAGUGAGCGGACAUGGAAGACAGCAUGAGAACUGCAUUAGAGAGACCAACUGGCGGCUUCAGCAGUGGUGUCUUGAGGCAGGCUUCGGCUUCCUGGACAACGACCCGCACAUCACGACGAGGGACAUGUUCAGUUGGGAUGGGCUUCACCUGUCCCCCAAAGGGGUGCUGGUACCGACAGCUGAUUUUUUAAGGAGGUGUAUCGGCCAAUACCUAUCCGCUUUUGUUAGAGCUGCAUGCAGCUGGUAUCUCACAAGCAUGUGUGUGCUUGCAGGCGGUGAGGCCAGCUCCUCAUUCCCUCCCUUGCCCGUACACCCACCACCAAAAUUAAAAUGUUGC